This 329-nucleotide transfer-messenger RNA is filed under the name Nitrospirota bacterium. Its description in RNAcentral is "Nitrospirae bacterium transfer-messenger RNA". It matches the Rfam family "transfer-messenger RNA". From Rfam's summary of the family: Bacterial tmRNA, also known as 10Sa RNA or SsrA, is named for its dual tRNA and mRNA-like properties. Its role is to liberate the mRNA from a stalled ribosome. To accomplish this part of the tmRNA is used as a reading frame that ends in a translation stop signal. RNAcentral also lists the same sequence under 1 other name. Lineage: Bacteria; Pseudomonadati; Nitrospirota. The record is from RNAcentral.
GGGGGCGACCGGUUUCGACGGGGAUCAAGAGGCCAGCGGUGCAUGUCGAGCUCUCGGGUGCUCGUUAAACUUCCGGGAAACUAGCAACUGCCAACCAACAGCUGGCACUCGCGGCUUAACUGACCGCGACGUCCCUCCACCUGAGGCCUGCGGGGGUGGAAGGGGCGCGAUGCAGCAGGCUGGUCCGAAGCUGGUGCUCAGCGGCUGAGGACGAGAACACACUGGGCUAGCGGCUGUUGCGGCUGCGAAACCAAAACGAUCGGCUACACAUGUAGAGUCGUUGCGCUGAAGGUCUUCGGACCCGGGUUCAACUCCCGGCGCCUCCACCA